This 606-nucleotide ribosomal RNA is filed under the name Fusarium oxysporum. RNAcentral's name for it is "LSU rRNA". It matches the Rfam family "Eukaryotic large subunit ribosomal RNA", at positions 38 to 667 of the family's 3401-position model. RNAcentral also lists the same sequence under 2 other names. Lineage: Eukaryota; Fungi; Ascomycota; Sordariomycetes; Hypocreales; Nectriaceae. The record is from RNAcentral.
GCAUAUCAAUAAGCGGAGGAAAAGAAACCAACAGGGAUUGCCCUAGUAACGGCGAGUGAAGCGGCAACAGCUCAAAUUUGAAAUCUGGCUCUCGGGCCCGAGUUGUAAUUUGUAGAGGAUACUUUUGAUGCGGUGCCUUCCGAGUUCCCUGGAACGGGACGCCAUAGAGGGUGAGAGCCCCGUCUGGUUGGAUGCCAAAUCUCUGUAAAGUUCCUUCAACGAGUCGAGUAGUUUGGGAAUGCUGCUCUAAAUGGGAGGUAUAUGUCUUCUAAAGCUAAAUACCGGCCAGAGACCGAUAGCGCACAAGUAGAGUGAUCGAAAGAUGAAAAGCACUUUGAAAAGAGAGUUAAAAAGUACGUGAAAUUGUUGAAAGGGAAGCGUUUAUGACCAGACUUGGGCUUGGUUAAUCAUCUGGGGUUCUCCCCAGUGCACUUUUCCAGUCCAGGCCAGCAUCAGUUUUCCCCGGGGGAUAAAGGCGGCGGGAAUGUGGCUCUCUUCGGGGAGUGUUAUAGCCCACCGUGUAAUACCCUGGGGGGGACUGAGGUUCGCGCAUCUGCAAGGAUGCUGGCGUAAUGGUCAUCAACGACCCGUCUUGAAACACGGACC